This 253-nucleotide ribosomal RNA is filed under the name uncultured bacterium. RNAcentral describes it as "partial 16S ribosomal RNA". It matches the Rfam family "Bacterial small subunit ribosomal RNA", at positions 524 to 776 of the family's 1533-position model. The record is from RNAcentral.
UACGGGGGGGGCAAGCGUUGUUCGGAAUUACUGGGCGUAAAGGGCGCGUAGGCGGUUCGCUAAGUUGGAUGUGAAAACUCUGGGCUCAACCCAGAGCCUGCAUCCAAAACUGGCGAGCUAGAGUAUGUAAGAGGGUCGCGGAAUUCCCGGUGUAGAGGUGAAAUUCGUAGAUAUCGGGAGGAACACCGGUGGCGAAGGCGGCGACCUGGGACAAUACUGACGCUGAGGUGCGAAAGCGUGGGGAGCAAACAGG